Long non-coding RNA from Diceros bicornis minor, 653 nucleotides. RefSeq lists it as uncharacterized. The transcript has 4 exons. NCBI's taxonomy places the organism in Eukaryota, Metazoa, Chordata, Mammalia, Perissodactyla, Rhinocerotidae. The record is from RefSeq and is a predicted model, not a curated record.
GUCUUUUAUUUCUUUUCAAAAAUACCAUUUGGAAGAAAAAGUGAAAAUGAGGUGAAUUUUCUUGUCUUUCUCAGUAAUAAAGUCCAAGGACAAAAUGUAUAGGUGUGAAGAGGGAGGAAAAAAGGAAGAAGACCAGAAAAAUAAAAAGGAAAAUAAAAGGAAGAGAAAAGAAUUAAAAGAUAUUAUAUGGAGUGAUUUUAUUCAAAUGAGUACAUAAUCUCCCAGAUGAGGAUGAAUGCCACUGACUGACCACCCCAAAAUUAUUGGACCUAUCCAAUUGGAAGCUACCUUCGUACCCCUCAACCUGGUUUGGCUCCAAGUAAGGGAAAGUCAAACUUCACACAUGAAGAGGAAGAACGCACGGAAAUCAACCCUAAUUCUUCUCAACUUGGCAAAAAUAAAUUUUCCAGAGACUGUGAAGUCCAGACUGGCCCUGUGCUAUCAUCUGUUCCCAUCUUCCUCAACUUUAUAUGGGAUGCCACCACAGCUUUGCCUGACAAGUGGUGCCUCAGUGCCUGCCCAGGAUCUGAACCCAGGCCACCAGCAGAGGAGCGUGUGCCCUUAACGGCUACUACGGCAUGGGGCCGCCCACCUACAAUUAUUGAUGAUGAAGAGAUUAGGGAAGGACUAACUGAUGAGGUGAUAUUUGAGCA